This 387-nucleotide ribosomal RNA is filed under the name uncultured bacterium. Its description in RNAcentral is "bacterial SSU rRNA". It matches the Rfam family "Bacterial small subunit ribosomal RNA", at positions 29 to 417 of the family's 1533-position model. The record is from RNAcentral.
AUUGAACGCUGGCGGAAUGCUUUACACAUGCAAGUCGAGCGGCAGCGCGGGGGCAACCCUGGCGGCGAGCGGCGAACGGGUGAGUAAUACAUCGGAACAUGUCCAGUUGUGGGGGAUAGCCCGGCGAAAGCCGGAUUAAUACCGCAUGAGCUCUGGCGAGGAAAGCGGGGGACCGAAAGGCCUCGCGCGACUGGGUUGGCCGAUGUCCGAUUAGCUAGUUGGUGGGGUAAAGGCUCACCAAGGCGAUGAUCGGUAGCUGGUCUGAGAGGAUGAUCAGCCACACUGGGACUGAGACACGGCCCAGACUCCUACGGGAGGCAGCAGUGGGGAAUUUUGGACAAUGGGGGCAACCCUGAUCCAGCCAUUCCGCGUGAGUGAAGAAGGCCU